RNAcentral lists this transfer RNA (67 nucleotides) under Ictidomys tridecemlineatus (thirteen-lined ground squirrel). RNAcentral describes it as "Spermophilus tridecemlineatus (thirteen-lined ground squirrel) tRNA". It matches the Rfam family "tRNA". From Rfam's summary of the family: Transfer RNA (tRNA) molecules are approximately 80 nucleotides in length. Their secondary structure includes four short double-helical elements and three loops (D, anti-codon, and T loops). Lineage: Eukaryota; Metazoa; Chordata; Mammalia; Rodentia; Sciuridae. The record is from Rfam by way of RNAcentral.
GGUUGUGGCUCAGUGGUAGAGCGCUUGCCUAGCAUGCAUGAGGCACUGGGUUCAAUCCCUGGAACCA